CCUACGGUGGCUGCAGUGGGGAAUAUUGGACAAUGGGCGAAAGCCUGAUCCAGCCAUGCCGCGUGUGUGAAGAAGGCCUUCGGGUUGUAAAGCACUUUCAGUGGGGAAGAAAGCCUUGGGGCUAAUACCCUCGAGGAAGGACAUCACCCACAGAAGAAGCACCGGCUAACUCCGUGCCAGCAGCCGCGGUAAUACGGAGGGUGCGAGCGUUAAUCGGAAUUACUGGGCGUAAAGCGCGCGUAGGCGGUCUGAUAAGCCGGUUGUGAAAGCCCCGGGCUCAACCUGGGAACGGCAUCCGGAACUGUCAGGCUAGAGUGCAGGAGAGGAAGGUAGAAUUCCCGGUGUAGCGGUGAAAUGCGUAGAGAUCGGGAGGAAUACCAGUGGCGAAGGCGGCCUUCUGGGCUGACACUGACGCUGAGGUGCGAAAGCGUGGGUAGCAAACAGGAUUAGAUACCCCUGUAGUC
RNAcentral lists this ribosomal RNA (464 nucleotides) under Vreelandella stevensii. RNAcentral describes it as "partial 16S ribosomal RNA". It matches the Rfam family "Bacterial small subunit ribosomal RNA", at positions 338 to 795 of the family's 1533-position model. Lineage: Bacteria; Pseudomonadati; Pseudomonadota; Gammaproteobacteria; Oceanospirillales; Halomonadaceae. The record is from RNAcentral.